AUGGCAGGAGCUGUGAAAGAAUCACUCUCUGUCUUGACCUUAGCAUUGGGAUCCAGCAGCCCUGCAUUUAUAAAGAAGCCUGAAUUCGCAGAAGGAAGUGGUGGACUUAGUGCGUCUUCAGAGCGAGGACAGCCCUCUGAUGGCGAGCGUGGAGCAGGCAGUGUCCCACCUCCAGCAGGCAGGUCAGGUGACCCAACGAAACCUGGACAAGAUGUUGUGUCAUACCCCCAUGGGGAAGAAGAGGGUGCCCAUGGGGAUAAUGGACGAGAGAAUGAUCAGCCAGAGGACUCUGAGGCCUCUGCAGUCCACUCUGUUGUCAGAGUGAAUGGGACUAGGUGUAUCUCUCAGCGUGUUUGAGGGGAUCCAGUCCCUGUCACAGCCAUGGAGGUCUGCUCUCACACCACCCAAGCAAGGCUGAACAGAGAUGCGCUCUCUCCCUACACCCAGACCUGGACUUUAUAGAGACCGAUAGUGUACCAGUCAGUGCAAUGUAUCUCUCCUCUCAGCCAGAGACCCUUCUGUAUUCCUCCUUUUUGAUCAUAUUCUUCACCCGUUCGCAUGCAAUGGUACAGGUAUACUAGUUGGUUCUACGUCUGGGGAGCCUCUUCAGAGCAUUUCAGACUUUUAACUGCUGACUGUGAAAAGGUUUGUUGAAUCCAAGGGACAUCAAUGUGUGCAAAAGAAGAAUGUAAUGGUGUAUGUGAGACAGAUAUGUAUAAACAUGUAAUUAUUUGAGAUUUAUAGGGUAAUACAUAUUGAAUGAAAUAAAAGCUGAUGUUGUAGAACUCUUUAUUAUUUUAUUGUUGAAUAAAGAGUCCUUCUUUACAUAAGUCAAAUCAAAAUGUAUUUUUCACAUGCACCGAAUACAACAGGUGCAGACCUUACAGUGAAAUGCUUACUUGCAGGCCCUUAACC
This 915-nucleotide long non-coding RNA is filed under the name Oncorhynchus kisutch (coho salmon). RNAcentral's name for it is "lncRNA (ENSOKIG00005028826.1)". The record is from RNAcentral. Lineage: Eukaryota; Metazoa; Chordata; Actinopteri; Salmoniformes; Salmonidae.